GCUCAUGGAUCGAUGAAGACCGCAGCUAAACGCGCGU
This 37-nucleotide ribosomal RNA is filed under the name Anopheles fluviatilis. RNAcentral's name for it is "partial 5.8S ribosomal RNA". Lineage: Eukaryota; Metazoa; Arthropoda; Insecta; Diptera; Culicidae. The record is from RNAcentral.